UACGUAGGGGCCUAGCGUUGUCCGGAUUUAUUGGGCGUAAAGAGCUCGUAGGCGGUCUGUUGCGUCCGCUGUGAAAACUCGGGGCUUAACCCCGAGCCUGCAGUGGAUACGGGCAGACUAGAGGUAGGUAGGGGAGCGUGGAAUUCCCAGUGUAGAGGUGAAAUUCGUAGAUAUUGGGAAGAACACCGGUGGCGAAGGCGGCGCUCUGGACCGAGACUGACGCUGAGGCGCGAAAGCGUGGGGAGCAAACAGG
RNAcentral lists this ribosomal RNA (253 nucleotides) under uncultured bacterium. RNAcentral's name for it is "partial 16S ribosomal RNA". It matches the Rfam family "Bacterial small subunit ribosomal RNA", at positions 524 to 776 of the family's 1533-position model. The record is from RNAcentral.